RNAcentral lists this ribosomal RNA (460 nucleotides) under uncultured bacterium. Its description in RNAcentral is "partial 16S ribosomal RNA". It matches the Rfam family "Bacterial small subunit ribosomal RNA", at positions 338 to 795 of the family's 1533-position model. The record is from RNAcentral.
CCUACGGGAGGCAGCAGUGAGGAAUAUUGGUCAAUGGGCGCGAGCCUGAACCAGCCAAGUCGCGUGAAGGAUGACUGCCCUACGGGUUGUAAACUUCUUUUAUAAAGGAAUAAAGUCAGGCACGCGUGCCUUUUUGUAUGUACUUUAUGAAUAAGGAUCGGCUAACUCCGUGCCAGCAGCCGCGGUAAUACGGAGGAUCCGAGCGUUAUCCGGAUUUAUUGGGUUUAAAGGGUGCGUAGAUGGGUUGUUAAGUCAGCGGUGAAAGUUCGGGGCUCAACCGUAAAAUUGCAUUUGAUACUGGCAGCCUUGAGUAGAGGUGAGGUAUGCGGAAUGCGUGGUGUAGCGGUGAAAUGCUUAGAUAUCACGAAGAACUCCGAUUGCGAAGGCAGCAUACUAACCUGCCACUGACAUUGAUGCACGAAAGUGUGGGUAUCAAACAGGAUUAGAUACCCCUGUAGUC